Schistosoma margrebowiei is the source of this 48-nucleotide non-coding RNA. The record is from Rfam. Lineage: Eukaryota; Metazoa; Platyhelminthes; Trematoda; Strigeidida; Schistosomatidae.
AUCCAGUUGACGAGUCCCAAAUAGGAUGAAACACACAUCAAACUGGAU